RNAcentral lists this ribosomal RNA (253 nucleotides) under uncultured bacterium. RNAcentral's name for it is "partial 16S ribosomal RNA". It matches the Rfam family "Archaeal small subunit ribosomal RNA", at positions 474 to 727 of the family's 1478-position model. The record is from RNAcentral. RNAcentral also lists the same sequence under 1 other name.
UACCCGCAGCACAAGUGGUGGUCAUUAUUAUUGGGCCUAAAGCGUCCGUAGCUGGCUUGUUAGAUGCCUGGGUAAAUCGAUGCGCUCAACGCAUCGAACUCCGGGUAGACCGGCAAGCUUGGGACCGGGAGAGGCGUGAGCUACUCGAGGGGUAGGGGUAAAAUCCUGUAAUCCUUCGGGGAGGACCAGUGGCGAAGGCGUCACGCUAGAACGGCUCCGACAGUGAGGGACGAAGCCCUGGGGCGCAAACCGG